This is a non-coding RNA of Ricinus communis (castor bean), 106 nucleotides long. The record is from Rfam. NCBI's taxonomy places the organism in Eukaryota, Viridiplantae, Streptophyta, Magnoliopsida, Malpighiales, Euphorbiaceae.
AGACCAUAAUGUGGGCACCUUCUUUGUAGCUCAUUGAAUUUCUCCCAAGCUUUAUAAAGAGAUUCAUCUUCCUUUUAGUAUAAACUAGCUAUUUAUUAAUGAAUUU